CGGGUCUAGCUUGCUAGAUGCUGACGAGUGGCGGACGGGUGAGUAAAGCGCAGGGAUCUGUCUUAUAGGGUGGGAUAACCUGGGGAAACUCAGGGUAAUACCGCAUGAAGCCUACGGGUAAAAGAGGGGGAUCUGAAAGGACCUCUCGCUAUGAGGUGAGCCUGCGUCGGAUUAGCUAGUUGGUGGGGUAAAGGCCUACCAAGGCGAAGAUCCGUAACUGGUCUGAGAGGACGACCAGUCACACUGGGACUGAGACACGGCCCAGACUCCUACGGGAGGCAGCAGUGGGGAAUUUUGGACAAUGGGCGAAAGCCUGAUCCAGCAAUACCGCGUGUGUGAAGAAGGCCUGCGGGUUGUAAAGCACUUUUGUUAGGGAAGAAGGUAUGAUGGUGAAUAGCCAUUAUAUUUGACAUUACCUAAAGAAUAAGCACCGGCUAACUCUGUGCCAGCAGCCGCGGUAAUACAGAGGGUGCAAGCGUUAAUCGGAAUUACUGGGCGUAAAGGGUGCGUAGGUGGAUAUAUAAGUCAGA
Molecule: ribosomal RNA, 530 nt
Filed under: uncultured bacterium
Lineage: Bacteria
Description: bacterial SSU rRNA
Rfam family: Bacterial small subunit ribosomal RNA
Source: RNAcentral